Picea glauca (white spruce) is the source of this 103-nucleotide non-coding RNA. The record is from Rfam. NCBI's taxonomy places the organism in Eukaryota, Viridiplantae, Streptophyta, Pinopsida, Pinales, Pinaceae.
GUAUGUUCGGAGACAUCCGAUAAAAUUAGAAUGAUACAAAGAAGAUUAGCAUGGCCCCUGUGCAAGGAUGACACACACAAAACGAGAAAUGGUCCAAAUGUGA